CGAAGGGGGCUAGCGUUGUUCGGAAUUACUGGGCGUAAAGCGAGUGUAGGUGGUUGUCCAAGUUGGAUGUGAAAGCCUUGAGCUCAACUCAAGAAAUGCAUUCAGGACUGGGCGGCUAGAGGACCGGAGAGGAUAGUGGAAUUCCCAGUGUAGUGGUGAAAUACGUAGAGAUUGGGAAGAACACCAGUGGCGAAGGCGGCUAUCUGGACGGUUUCUGACACUAAGACUCGAAAGCGUGGGGAGCAAACAGGAUUAGAUACCCUGGUAGUCCACGCCGUAAACGAUGGGUGCUAGACGUUGGCGAGCUUGCUCGUCAGUGUCGCAGCUAACGCGUUAAGCACCCCGCCUGGGGAGUACGGCCGCAAGGUUG
This 370-nucleotide ribosomal RNA is filed under the name uncultured organism. RNAcentral's name for it is "bacterial SSU rRNA". It matches the Rfam family "Bacterial small subunit ribosomal RNA", at positions 526 to 896 of the family's 1533-position model. The record is from RNAcentral.